AUGGUGCAGCUGUGGAACCUGGGAAGAGAAAAGGCGGACAUGGCUGUGCGUGAGCCCGUUGUGGUCACGAAUCCGGCUUGGACCCCUGCGUUAGGCUGCAGAAGCCGGCCUCGCCAGCCUGCUGCGUCUCAGGACCUGCGGCUCCGCUCCUCCAGGUGCUCAGGUAGGAAGCUCAGACCCAGCCCGCCUCUCGCUGCAGGCCCCGGGCCCACCUGCACCCCUGUCCCCCCACUCCAUCCAGCUGCAGGCCCCCGGCUCACGUGGUCUGAGUCACUCCGCUCACGUCUUCCUGUGGCCACCGGAGUCGUCACUGGCUGUGCGUCGGGACUGGACUGGCGUCAGCACCUGCCCCCCACCCCCCCGGUGGCCCACACCCGCCUCCUGCCACCAGGUGCUGGGGGGGCUCACUCCCUGAAGCUUUCCCUGCCCCGUCUGGUUGCCUGGAUCCCGUCACACCUGGCAUUUGCCUGCACCCGUGUCACCUGGUGCAGCCGUGUGCCAGUGUGCACCAGUGCCUGGGACAGAACAGGUGUGUGUUGGAGGCAGGAGUGACCUCACAUUAGGCUGGUGAGGGCGCUGGUCCCCGCUGGUGGCCGCAGCACGCCCCGGCCGACUCCGUAGCCUUGGCCGAUCACACAGCCCCUCGGCUGUAAAGGAGCACCCUGGGGGCUGCACGUGUGCACGCGUGUCCUAGUGCCCACUCAGGAGGUGGCCUGGACGCCCUCCGGUAGCUGUCUCGCUGCUAACUCCAUCCCUGUGUGUGUGACCUGGGCUGGACUGACUUGGUAGCUCCGUGCAGCUCCGUCCCCAAAGGUGUCCUUCCUGGUGACCUUCGCUGGUCCUGCUGGUAUGGGUUGACCUCCACGUAGCCCUCAGCCCCCACAGCGCCGCUGGCCUGCGCCAGCUCUGUGCGCGUCCUGCCUGCGUCCCCGUGGCGUGGCAGGUCCUGCGGUGGCCCCGGCCUGUGAUUCUGAGGCUCUGUGGUGUUGUGAGCAGACGGGCCCCGUGCAGGUGCUGGGUCGCACGCGUGUGCGGGAGUGCCGUGUCAGCGCCUCCCUGGAUCUUUCUGGCCCUGCCUUCGCGGUCCCCUCCCGUCAACUCAGGUGGCAUCGUCCCAGGGACCCUGUGGGCAGCCGCCCCUGCCCCCUCCCCGCCACUCCGCCCCUCCGCUGGUCUCUGUGUGGCGCCACCUGCUGUUUGCCGGGUGGAUUCUCUCUCCACCUUUUCUGCUCCAGGAGAGUAGGCGCGCAGGCCCAGAACAGUGUCCGUGUGGGGGCGUCUGCUGGGAGUUUGGGGGCAGUGGAUGUGGCUGGAAGUGCCCCUGACCGUCGGGGGGACCACUGACACUCACGCGGUGUUGACGAUGCCUUCUUCUCUUGGUGCAAAGCUGGGAUUUACAAACACACGAUGUGGCGGUGGGCAUUGUCUGUCCCGGGUCUGCUUCAGCUCCAGCUCCCUGCUGCGUGCGCCCUGGAAAGCAGCAGGCGGCGGCUCACAGAGUUGCAUCCUUGCCCCGUGGGAGAGCUGGACUGAACGCCUGGCUCCUGACCGA
Oryctolagus cuniculus (rabbit) is the source of this 1552-nucleotide long non-coding RNA. The record is from Ensembl. Lineage: Eukaryota; Metazoa; Chordata; Mammalia; Lagomorpha; Leporidae.